Bradyrhizobium sp. is the source of this 60-nucleotide non-coding RNA. NCBI's taxonomy places the organism in Bacteria, Pseudomonadati, Pseudomonadota, Alphaproteobacteria, Hyphomicrobiales, Nitrobacteraceae. The record is from Rfam.
CCCCUGGUCCGGGCCCCUCUGGUGAAGCUGCCGGUGCGCUCACGAUGUCGGACCUGACGA